RNAcentral lists this small RNA (174 nucleotides) under Delftia acidovorans. RNAcentral's name for it is "Manganese sequence". It matches the Rfam family "Manganese Mn2+ riboswitch aptamer (yybP-ykoY)". From Rfam's summary of the family: This RNA was originally discovered in E. coli during a large scale screen and was named SraF. Lineage: Bacteria; Pseudomonadati; Pseudomonadota; Betaproteobacteria; Burkholderiales; Comamonadaceae. The record is from RNAcentral.
CCCUUGGGGAGUAGCCUGCUUGCAACCUGCAAGCGCCUGCGUCAACACACUCGGCAUCCUGCAUGCUGUGGUGCAGGCAUCCGUUCUUCGGUUGGCGAGACCAUCGGCAUUUCACCGCGACACAGGUCACAAGGUCGGGCGGCGGUGAAGUGCCGUUGUGCGCUUGCCCGGCCG